GACGAACCGUUCGAACGUUAUUCGGAAUCACUGGGCUUAAAGGGUGCGUAGGCGGCUUGGCAAGUUGGGUGUGAAAUCCCAGGGCUCAACCCUGGAAUUGCGCUCAAAACUGCCAAGCUUGGGGAAAGUAGGGGUGAGCGGAACUGAUGGUGGAGCGGUGAAAUGCGUUGAUAUCAUCAGGAACACCGGUGGCGAAAGCGGCUCACUGGACCUUUUCUGACGCUGAGGCACGAAAGCUAGGGUAGCGAACAGG
This 253-nucleotide ribosomal RNA is filed under the name uncultured bacterium. Its description in RNAcentral is "partial 16S ribosomal RNA". It matches the Rfam family "Bacterial small subunit ribosomal RNA", at positions 524 to 776 of the family's 1533-position model. The record is from RNAcentral.